UACGUAGGGUGCGAGCGUUAAUCGGAAUUACUGGGCGUAAAGCGUGCGCAGGCGGAUUGUUAAGCAAGAUGUGAAAUCCCCGGGCUUAACCUGGGAACUGCAUUUGAAACUAGGUCGCUAGAGUAUGGCAGAGGGGGGUAGAAUUCCACGUGUAGCAGUGAAAUGCGUAGAGAUGUGGAGGAAUACCGAUGGCGAAGGCAGCCCCCUGGGUCAAUACUGACGCUCAUGC
Molecule: ribosomal RNA, 229 nt
Filed under: uncultured bacterium
Lineage: Bacteria
Description: partial 16S ribosomal RNA
Rfam family: Bacterial small subunit ribosomal RNA
Source: RNAcentral